Molecule: ribosomal RNA, 327 nt
Filed under: uncultured bacterium
Lineage: Bacteria
Description: bacterial SSU rRNA
Rfam family: Bacterial small subunit ribosomal RNA
Source: RNAcentral
GACGAACGCUGGCGGCGUGCCUAAUACAUGCAAGUCGAGCGAGCGGAACCAACAGAUUUACUUCGGUAAUGACGUUGGGAAAGCGAGCGGCGGAUGGGUGAGUAACACGUGGGGAACCUGCCCCUAAGUCUGGGAUACCAUUUGGAAACAAGUGCUAAUACCGCAUAUACCACAGAUAUCGCAUGAUAUAGGUGGAAAAGGAGCAAUCCACUAAUAGAUGAGCUUGCGUCUGAUUAGUUAGUUGGUGGGGUAACGGCCUACCAAGACGACGAUCAGUAGCCGGACUGAGAGGUUGAACGGCCACAUUGGGACUGAGAUACGGCCCAG